Molecule: non-coding RNA, 99 nt
Filed under: Protocruzia adhaerens
Lineage: Eukaryota; Ciliophora; Spirotrichea
Source: RNAcentral
AAUGCAUUACUUCAGAAAAAGUAGAAGAUGAAGGGCUACACUUACAUCUUUGUUCUCACUUCGUUUUUUUUUUGUUGCUUUUCUUCUUCUUCUUCUUCA